CACGCAGUAAACGAUGAAUACUAGCUGUAUGCGAUAUACUGUAUGUGGCACAGCGAAAGCGUUAAGUAUUCCACCUGGGGAGUACGUUCGCAAGAAUGAAACUCAAAGGAAUUGACGGGGGCCCGCACAAGCGGAGGAACAUGUGGUUUAAUUCGAUGAUACGCGAGGAACCUUACCCGGGCUUGAAAUGCAUCUGACCGAUCAGGAAACUGAUUUUCUAGCAAUAGCAGAUGUGUAGGUGC
Molecule: ribosomal RNA, 242 nt
Filed under: uncultured bacterium
Lineage: Bacteria
Description: partial 16S ribosomal RNA
Rfam family: Bacterial small subunit ribosomal RNA
Source: RNAcentral